RNAcentral lists this ribosomal RNA (254 nucleotides) under uncultured bacterium. Its description in RNAcentral is "partial 16S ribosomal RNA". It matches the Rfam family "Bacterial small subunit ribosomal RNA", at positions 524 to 776 of the family's 1533-position model. The record is from RNAcentral.
UACGUAGGGGGCUAGCGUUGUCCGGAUUUAUUGGGCGUAAAGAGCUCGUAGGUGGUUCGGUAAGUCGGAUGUGAAAUCUGCAGGCUCAACCUGGAGGGGUCAUUCGAUACUGCCGUGACUAGAGUUCGGUAGAGGAGUGUGGAAUUCCUGGUGGAGCGGUGAAAUGCGCAGAGAUCAGGAGGAACACCCGUAGCGAAGGCGGCACUCUGGGCCGAUACUGACACUGAGGAGCGAAAGCGUGGGGAGCGAACAGG